AUGCCGCUCAACUACGUUGCUUCCAUCGCAAGUGAGGUGUUUGACGAAAUGGUCGGAAGUGGUGGUUCGAACAAUGCCACUAUCGAGUUCAUGAACUUGUUGAACUUGUUGGACAUCAACGCCAUUGACAUCGAUCAAGCCCCGUUCGUUGCAUUCAAUUACAAUGAAACAAAGGGCGACGUGGAUGACCACGAUGGUGAAGAAGAAUUUGAGGAGAUAGAUGAGGGGGCAUAUGAGCAAGCGCAAGCAAGAAAAAGCCAGAGAUCAAAGAACUACAUGAUCUUGAAAGAUCAAAUCUUGAUCAAGGGUUGGCGUGCGAUGUCUCUUAAUGCUUGCACGGGUACGUCACAAACCGCCAAGAGGUAUUGGAAAAAGAUCGAAGAUCAAUAUUUUCACAUGAUGGCAAAGUAUCCCAAUAGGACUCCACGCACCUUUCGGUCACUCCAAGGAUGUUGGGACGUGAUCAAGCCUAUUUGCAGCCGUUGGGCAGGUUGCUUGGAACAAGUACGAAAUGCACCUCCAAGUGGAACCGUGGAAUCCGACUAUGACAAAAUUGCCCAACAAAGAUACAAAGACAUGAAAGCUUCGGAAGGCAAAUUCUUCAAACUAGGCAUCAUUGGGACUUGCUCAAACAGUCCAAGAAGUGGAAGUUGA
This 654-nucleotide ribosomal RNA is filed under the name Triticum aestivum (bread wheat). Its description in RNAcentral is "partial small subunit ribosomal RNA". Lineage: Eukaryota; Viridiplantae; Streptophyta; Magnoliopsida; Poales; Poaceae. The record is from RNAcentral.